UUUCAACAAAAUAAAUUUAUUCAUAUAUUUUUAAUGUCAUUGACAUAAGAGUAGCACUUAUAUUUUUAUUAACACUGAUUUUUCACCAUCAAAAAGUAUACAUGCAACUCCAGGAUGAUUUAAACAAGACCCAUUGUCUUUUCAUAUAUCUAUUCUGUAAACGAAGAAAAAAAGGUUUUAUUUAUUAAAUAAGUCAUGUUACAACAAGAAUAUGUCCCCAGUACAUGGAUGCACUAUCAUUUUCUAUGUCCAGUGGACCGUAUAAAUGGGAGAAAAUCUCUAAUUUGGCAUUAAGAUAAGAAAGAUCAUAUUAUAAUGUGUACUAAGUUUCAAGUCGAUUGGACUUCAACUUCAUCAAAAACUACUUGACCAAAAACUUUAACCUGAAGCGGGACAGACAGACAGAUGGAGGGACGGAUGAACAAACGGACGAACGAACGAACACACAGACCAGAAAACAUAAUGCCCAUAAAUGGAACAUAAAAAUACAGAACUUGUGUAUGUAAGUAACAUUCACAGAUCAUUUGAAAUUUUUUUAAACCAGGAUGAUUUUAAACAUUUACGAGGCCCCUCAUGGGGGGGUCCUAGUAAUCACAUAAUCACCAUUUUUUUGCCAAUAUAAUCACAUAAUCAUUAAAUAUUUGCUUAUCUUUAGUAAUCAAAUAAUCAUAAACUAAAAAUACUGUCCUAGGUAAUCAAAUAAUCAUGAAAUAUUUGGCUUAAUAAUCAAAUAAUCAUUAAAAAAACGGCCAAGUAAUCACAUAAUCAAAAACCCCAUGAGGGCCCUCAUUUACUCAAACUGCAUUUUAUGCAUAAAUGACCCACUUAUGUUAGUAGCUGAUACAAAUUACCAAUAAAUUUCAAAAUAAAAUUGUAUGAUAACCUUUUUAGAAAUAAUGCAUGAUGAACUAAAAUUCAUCUGAUCUUUUUUCCCUGCAAUGUCGGUGACACUCAUAAAUAAUGUAUAUUUAGGCCAAAAAAUGUAUACAUGUAUGUAGUUAUAUCACUUAAGCUGUACCAUUUGUGAUUACUUCCAAAUGAUGGACUUUUAACUGGGGAUAGGCUGGCAGGUAUAGCAAGUAAACUGCUACACAUGGAAGGUUUAAUUCUACAUGCAAAGACAACAACAAUAACUUCUCUCAUAAACAAGUAAUGUUAGAUGUGGAACAAAAUUCAUCAAUUAUUUAAUUAUUUAUUUUUAAAAGCAAUGGGUGUGGUACAUAAUUUACCACACGCUGAUUUAAUUUCCCACAUGCUGUACGUCCUAAUUUCCUAAACACUGAUUCCGUUUAUAAACCAGAUGCUCUGCAGGGCGCAGCUAUAUACGACCGCAGAGGUUGAACCCUGAACAGUUGGGGCAGGUAUGGACACAACAUUUAAGCUGGAUUCAGCUCUAAAUUUGGAUUGUGAUUAAAUAGUUGACACAGCAUAGGUUUCUGACACAGAAUGAAUGUGGUCUAAUGAACUUAAAAUAUUUUUUUUGCCUUUGAGCAAUUCACUAUGCUGUUGAAUAUUAAUCCUCUCAAAAAAAUGUUUGAAGAAAUUUUCUUUUAUUUAUGAAAUCUGAAAUCAGAAAAAUUUAACCCCCCACCCCCAUUUGUUUUCACAUCCGCCUUUCCCUUUUUCCAAAACUGAUCUCAAUUCAAAUUUCUAAUGGAGUUUGCAACAAUAACUACUCAUUUAAAUACAUCAUAAAAUAUUAAA
Molecule: long non-coding RNA, 1704 nt
Filed under: Mytilus galloprovincialis (Mediterranean mussel)
Lineage: Eukaryota; Metazoa; Mollusca; Bivalvia; Mytilida; Mytilidae
Source: RNAcentral